AUUUUAUAGAAAUUUUUUUUCCAAAUAAGACUUGUAUCUAGUUCUUGUGAUUAGCAAUCACGAUUGGAGAGAAAAUCUUCGACUAAAACUUAUCUCCACCGCCACCUCCGAAAUCAAAGCCUAUGGAGCUAUGCAAUCGUUGGAUCUAGGUUUUGGUCAUGACUAUUUUCAAUUUUUUCUUCUUCAUUGAUGGGUGGUGAUUUGAAUAUUUGUUGGAUCUGUAUAUGUUCUUAUACUUCCUUCUCUACUCUGUAUAACUUGUUGAUUGAAUCAUACCUCUAAAAUUGAAAUACAAUAUAUAAGAUUUAAAUUUUUUCCUUCAUCGAUGGUGGUGAUUUGGAUCUUUGGUUGCAUCCAUAUUUGUUCUCAUACUCUUCCUAUCCCUAUUUGUAUCAGUGGAUGAUUGAAUCAUACUUCUAAAAUUGAAAUAUGUGUAUGAGAUUGAUGUCAUGACAAUGUAUCAUAAAUUGAAAUAAGUGACAUACAAUUAGUAAAUAAAAUAAAUCAAAAAGUAAGAGAGAGAGAAAAAAAAUGAAAAACUUAAAAUGAAAAAAAUAAUUUUAAAUUAAAUUAACACGUGUCACGUAAUGAUUGGUGCGUGGUAAAACUUGCCUUUUAAAAUCUAAGAUUGGCCGAAUAAUGAUAUAAUAAUAUCAUUUCAAAAUUGUUUAGGGGGUAAUAGGACGCACAAAUAGUUAAGGUGCCUGUUUAAAAAUUUGAGACAACUUCAUAUGUCACUUUAUGUCUUUUCUCUUACAUAUACCAACAGUGUAAAGAUUAAUUGUCUUAUCAUAAAUAUUUGUAUGUAAUUAUCUUGUAAAUAAUCUACACAAAAACUAUGACUAUUAUGCAUUAGUCCAAACAAGAUGGGUCUGACUAUAUCGGGACCGACUAUAUGAAAGCCUACCGAAGACGUCUCAAUCAUAUACUAUGAUUCACAAGCAAUUAUACAAAAAAAAAAAAUCAAGUGUUUUACCUUGCAGGUAUUGAUUUUUUGAAAAAAAAUAUUAUUUGGCAUAGAAAAUAUAUCUACUAUAUUUACAAUUUGUAAAUACACUUAAAAAAUUACAAUUCCUAGUUAUCUUUUGGAUUUUAUAGAAAUUUUUUUUCCAAAUAAGACUUGUAUCUAGUUCUUGUGAUUAGCAAUCACGAUUGGAGAGAAAAUCUUCGACUAAAACUUAUCUCCACCGCCACCUCCGAAAUCAAAGCCUAUGGAGCUAUGCAAUCGUUGGAUCUAGGUUUUGGUCAUGACUAUUUUCAAUUUUUUCUUCUUCAUUGAUGGGUGGUGAUUUGAAUAUUUG
Molecule: long non-coding RNA, 1301 nt
Filed under: Solanum tuberosum (potato)
Lineage: Eukaryota; Viridiplantae; Streptophyta; Magnoliopsida; Solanales; Solanaceae
Description: long non-coding RNA (STUB_LNC008217)
Source: RNAcentral